RNAcentral lists this transfer RNA (71 nucleotides) under Schistosoma mansoni. Lineage: Eukaryota; Metazoa; Platyhelminthes; Trematoda; Strigeidida; Schistosomatidae. The record is from RNAcentral.
GCUCAGUAGCUGAGUGGAUAACGUGUUGGCGUUUGAAGACAGCGAUACUGGGUUCGAGUCCCAGAGUGAAC